Molecule: ribosomal RNA, 228 nt
Filed under: uncultured bacterium
Lineage: Bacteria
Description: partial 16S ribosomal RNA
Rfam family: Bacterial small subunit ribosomal RNA
Source: RNAcentral
UAACGCGUAGGUAACCUGCCUUGUAGCGGGGGAUAACUAUUGGAAACGAUAGCUAAUACCGCAUAACAAUGGGUGACUCAUGUCAUUUAUUUGAAAGGGGCAAAUGCUCCACUACAAGAUGGACCUGCGUUGUAUUAGCUAGUAGGUGAGGUAACGGCUCACCUAGGCGACGAUACAUAGCCGACCUGAGAGGGUGAUCGGCCACACUGGGACUGAGACGCGGCCCAG